This 253-nucleotide ribosomal RNA is filed under the name uncultured bacterium. Its description in RNAcentral is "partial 16S ribosomal RNA". It matches the Rfam family "Bacterial small subunit ribosomal RNA", at positions 524 to 776 of the family's 1533-position model. The record is from RNAcentral.
UACGGAGGAUCCAAGCGUUAUCCGGAUUUAUUGGGUUUAAAGGGUGCGUAGGCGGCCUGUUAAGUCAGGGGUGAGAGACGGUAGCUCAACUAUCGCAGUGCCCUUGAUACUGAUGGGCUUGAAUAGACUAGAGGCAGGCGGAAUGAGGCAAGUAGCGGUGAAAUGCAUAGAUAUGCCUCAGAACACCGAGUGCGAAGGCAGCUUGCGAUGGUCUUAUGGACGCUGAGGCACGAAAGCGUGGGGAUCAAACAGG